AUAUAAAAGUUUAUAUUUUUCACACAAUUAAUCUUUAAAAUACAAGAGAAUCAACAAAUAAAUAAAAUAAAUUAUAAAACUCAGAUUUGAAGUAUACCCAAAUGACAGAUAUUACAUUUCAUAAAAUACUGACCUGAAAGAGUGGUUCUUGAAGCUUCAAUGAUGUCCUCAAAGAUUAGCUUUAUUACCCAAGUUGCCUCGAUGAUUAUGGAUUUUGUUGCAGAAUUAAUUGUGGGUUUGUUUCUUAAAUGGGAAUUGAAUAAAGUAAUAAUUAGCGAUUGAUGCAGAAAGGAAAAAUACAUAUGGGCUUUAAAUGGAUGAGAUGGAAGGGCUGGCAAAGGAGCAAAAAGAUCAAGAGUAAAACCAAAAGAAACAACAGCAAACAGUUGGGCUUUAAAUGGAUGAGAUGGCUGUCAAAAGGAAAAUGUUAGAAACAGGUCAGAAGGUCUACUCCUCAAUUAUUUUCGGUGGUAUUCAGGCUUUUUCGUUCAUAGACACUUGCCGGUACCUAAUUUUCAUAGCAAAAUAUGUAGGUAAUUUACAACAACAACAACAACUAUUCAGUAUAAUUCCAGGGUCACAAACCUUACCCUUACCCGAAAGGACAGAGAAGCUGUUUCCAAUCGACCCC
RNAcentral lists this long non-coding RNA (631 nucleotides) under Nicotiana benthamiana. RNAcentral's name for it is "long non-coding RNA (NBEN_LNC018658)". Lineage: Eukaryota; Viridiplantae; Streptophyta; Magnoliopsida; Solanales; Solanaceae. The record is from RNAcentral.